CACAAGGACUUCUUGCCAUGUAUUUGUGGAC
This 31-nucleotide non-coding RNA is filed under the name Rattus norvegicus (Norway rat). Lineage: Eukaryota; Metazoa; Chordata; Mammalia; Rodentia; Muridae. The record is from RNAcentral.